CUGAAUCUCACUGCAGCUGCUGGACGCUGCACAAGAUUAGAUAUUUUAGAACUCUUGUGCGUGUGACAGCGGCUAUUGUGGGUAUUCUUAUUCAACAAU
Tribolium castaneum (red flour beetle) is the source of this 99-nucleotide microRNA precursor. It matches the Rfam family "mir-210 microRNA precursor family". NCBI's taxonomy places the organism in Eukaryota, Metazoa, Arthropoda, Insecta, Coleoptera, Tenebrionidae. The record is from Rfam.